Molecule: long non-coding RNA, 798 nt
Filed under: Felis catus (domestic cat)
Lineage: Eukaryota; Metazoa; Chordata; Mammalia; Carnivora; Felidae
Description: lncRNA (ENSFCAG00000050533.1)
Source: RNAcentral
AUCCCACUUUGGCUCAGGUCAUGAUCUCCUGGUUCCUGGGUUCCAGCCCUGCAUCAGGCUCUGUGCUGACAGCUCAGAGCCUGGAGCCUGCUUCGGAUUCUGUGUCUUUGUCUCUCUCUGCCUCUCCCCAACUCACACUCUGUCUCUCUCAAAAAUAAAUAAACAUUAAAAAAGAAAAAUGAAAAACCCCAGUCCUGGAACAACCCAGAUGGUGGGUCACACUAGAAAAUCAUGGAGCACAUUUAUCUCUUUCACAUUAAAAAAAAAACAAAACAAAACAGAAACAAACAAACAAAAAAAACCUAACCUAUAAGAAUAAAGUGAUUCAGCAGCUGUUGAUAAAGACUCAGCAUUUACCAAGUGCAUCUUCUUGUGGACUAUGGGCUUCACCAUGGUAGCCUUCAUAGAAGCUCUAUGAGGUAAGCACCAUCAUCAUCUCCAUCUGACACAUGAUGAAAGUAAACACAGAAUAUUAAGACAUGGAACUGGAUUUCAAGAUGAGCGGUCUCCAUGGAAGAAGACGCCACAGCAUCCUAUGAAAUUUUGUUUUAAGGUUUAAGGUUACCUUCAUUAUUGUCAAGAACACGCUUCCAUCUCUGGCUCUGCAGCAUGAACACUCUUCCAGUUAAGCCAUCGAGAACAAGAUGCAAACUGCAGUCUUCUUGGAAAAGAUGCGAAGUCAACAGCUGGCCAUUUCUUUCUUCCUCUUCCUAUUUCUUUCUCAUGAAAAUCAGUACGUGGUGUGCAUUAUUCUGCUCUAAAAUCAAAUUUGCUAAUAAACUGUGACUCAAUUCCACA